CGAGUGGCGGACGGGUGAGUAAUGCUUGGGAACUUGCCUUCAGGAGGGGGAUAACAGUUGGAAACGACUGCUAAUACCGCAUAACGUCUACGGACCAAAGGGGGCUUCGGCUCCCACCUGAAGAGAGGCCCAAGUGAGAUUAGCUAGUUGGUAAGGUAAAGGCUUACCAAGGCGACGAUCUCUAGCUGUUCUGAGAGGAAGAUCAGCCACACUGGGACUGAGACACGGCCCAGACUCCUACGGGAGGCAGCAGUGGGGAAUAUUGCACAAUGGGGGAAACCCUGAUGCAGCCAUGCCGCGUGUGUGAAGAAGGCCUUCGGGUUGUAAAGCACUUUCAGUUGUGAGGAAAGGUUGGUAGUUAAUACCUGCCAGCUGUGACGUUAACAACAGAAGAAGCACCGGCUAACUCCGUGCCAGCAGCCGCGGUAAUACGGAGGGUGCGAGCGUUAAUCGGAAUUACUGGGCGUAAAGCGCACGCAGGCGGUUUGUUAAGCUAGAUGUGAAAGCCCCGGGCUCAACCUGGG
This 524-nucleotide ribosomal RNA is filed under the name bacterium enrichment culture clone F09_2-E12_069 (5/59). RNAcentral describes it as "bacterial SSU rRNA". It matches the Rfam family "Bacterial small subunit ribosomal RNA", at positions 92 to 618 of the family's 1533-position model. The record is from RNAcentral.